This is a non-coding RNA of Caretta caretta (loggerhead turtle), 5133 nucleotides long. The record is from RefSeq and is a predicted model, not a curated record. Lineage: Eukaryota; Metazoa; Chordata; Testudines; Cheloniidae.
CUGACUAAUCUAAAAGUUGCCUUCUAUGAGGAGAUAACUGGCUCUGUGGAUGAGGGGAAAGCAGUGGAUGUGUUAUUCCUUGACUUUAGCAAAGCUUUUGACACGGUCUCCCACAGUAUUCUUGCCAGCAAGUUAAAGAAGUAUGAGCUGGAUGAAUGGACUAUAUGGUGGAUAGAAAACUGGCUAGAUCGUCGGGCUCAACGGGUAGUGAUCAAUGGCUCCAAGUCUAGUUGGCAGCCGGUAUCAAGGGGAGUGCUCCAAGGGUCGGUCCUGGGGCCGAUUUUGUUCAAUAUCUUCAUUAAUGAUCUGGAGGAUGGCGUGGAUUGCACCCUCAGCAAGUUUGCAGGCAAGCCACCAUGCUGCUGAACCAGUUUGGGUGAAGGAGGAGGAAACGGAGUAACAACUUGUGAAUGAACUUUUCCUGGAGCAGCUUCACACAGUGCAGUGCCAUUUCUGAUAUGAGAAGACUAAUGGUGACUAGUGGGAAAGGAUAGUGAUCCAGGCCUGGGGUGACAAGCAUCUGCAAAAGAAGUUCAGGCCACCUGCCUAGAAAUCUUCACAGAGCUGCACAGUAACAUGAGAGCUCCUAGAGAAACGUGGCUGUUACCAUCUGGAAGCUCACCAACCCUGAUUGCUCCUCAUCAGUAGCUAAGCAAUUUGGUUUUGGUAGGUCAGGUUGACUGUUGGGCUGUUGUUAUGCAGGCAUGCACUGCUAUGAAGAAGGUGUUGAAACACUGAGUAAUAAUAUUUUGGCAAUGUGCAGGAGAUUAUCAGUUUACACGCUUAAGGUUCCUGAAUUGUAUUGGGACUGUUGAUGGGAUCUGUGUGUCUAUUCCUUAACCUCGCCACAAGGCCUCGUGUUUAUAAACAGAAAGGGCUAUUUCUCCAGGGUAUUCCAAGGUCUGGUUGAUCAUAGUAUUUGGUUCACCAGUAUUAAUGUGGUGUGAUCUGGAAAGGUCCCUGGUGCUAGAAUCUUUAGAAACUCACACCUCUUUUCCUUCAUGAAAAAUGGAACUUUUGCUUCCAAGACCACUGUAGAUAUUGAUGGUUUUGCAAUUUCCUUCUCUCAUUCUGGGAAACCCAGCUUCCCUGGUUUAUAAAGACUUUUAUUUAGGCACCUGGGCAGGAAAAAGAGCCUGUUAAACUAUAGCUGGGUACCUGCAGAAAGACAGUGGAGUAUAUGUUUGGAAGGCUGAAAGGAAUUUGGUGCUGUCUAAUGAUUAAAAUGGCAGCUACAGAGCAAUAUCUGCUUCAUGUAAUAACUGCAUACUGUAUUUUUCAGAACAGCUGUGAAAAUAAGGGAGAUUGUACCUCUGACUCCCCCCACAUCAGAGGCUGAGACUGUCGGAGCAAAACAAACUGCCAGAGAGGCUUUCCCUCUUCAAACUGCAGCCAGUUGCCAGGGCCACAGGGUUAAGGGUGCUUUGUGCUCCUACAUUGAGGCCUUUUGCCAGUCUGGAGUGACUCUGAAGAUGUACUAAAAGUAGCAUCUGAAAGAGUGAGUGGGAAACGGAACUUAAGUGCACCAAGUCUUUAAAACCUACAAAGACUGUUAAAGUAUCCUACUACUGGGAUCUUCUGAUCUACUUAAAGGGAGCAAGUUAUCCAGCUGGAAUAAAUGACAAAGGAAAGUGAAUGGAAGGACUUCAUCAGCCUCUGCAUGAAGAAAAAGAAAGUCUGUCCCAUGCUCCCCAGGAGGGCACGUGGUGGUGGUGAGGCUGGAAGGGACCUAUUGGAGGAAGAACAGUUUCAGCAACAACGCAGUGCUGCGCCCCGGCAGUGCUGUGCCCCAGCAGCAGAGGGAUAGCUCAGGAGUGCAAAGGGCUACAGAUCAGGCCAUUUCCCCAGGGCUGCUUCAGGCACUCACUGAAUGUAGGUAUCAGUAAAGCACUUCAGUCAGUCUGAGGUCCAGGGAAGGUUUGUGUGAGAGUGCAAUUACAGGAAUUGGCUGCAUGUAUCCUCAGAGUUUCUUGUGUAAGAAUUCAAAGUAAAGAUCACCAGGUAAUCUGGUUUGAUCUCCUACACACCACACACCACCCAAUCACCUCUGCAUUGAGCACAGCAACUUGGAUCAGACUCUCCUGGCCUGCCUAUUCUCAGCCUGUGGCACACAAUGGUUUAGUCUCCCCCUGGAAAUAGGCUGUCCAAGAGAGGUGUCUCUAAUGUAAUUGUGGGUUUGUCCAGCGUGUUUGGGUCGUACAAUAUCUGGAUGGUAAGGUAAGCAAACUGCUACCGUAGAUGGGAAUGUAAAUUUAACUGAUAAUGUGCUUGAUUUUUUGUGAUUGUGUCAGUGGGAUUUGCACCUGACCAGCCUUAACUCAGAGGGCCAGAUUCUCACCCAUGGCUGAGGAAAACAGGAGUGCAAAGUGUCUUUAAGCUACCAGUUCUAGGGCCCUUCUGUGUCAGGCCAAUCCUCCUGUCAGGUUGUUCUUACUUGUAUCAACUGUCAACAGUCCCAAGGACCAUUAUGUCAGUUGGGGAUUACUAGGGUACUUGGAACCCCCCCCCCCCCCCCCAUGUUCCUUGUGCCAGUAACAGGGAGGGGUAACCAUAUAGGAAAUGGCUCUAAGCUAUCUGAUGGUCCUACACAGGGGAACAUCUCUUGGAAAUAAAUAAGCUAGUUUUAAGAUACUCUUGUGGUGGUGGAUCAGCAGGAAGCUUCCUAAUGCAGCAACAGAUGUAACCCUAGACAACCAAUAUCGUUUUUUUGUGGGGGUGGGGAGUUAUGUACCUCAACCAUAACAUAAUUGUCUCUGCCUUUUUCCUUUUGGCAAACUACUGCAAUAAAUUAACACUAAAUGAAAUAUACAACCAAUAUACUGUGUGUUGUAAAAUAUACCAUUUCUAGUUAGUUACUCAUCUGCAUUCUAUGCAGGUACGUACAUCUGUUGCCUUCUUUUCAGUCUGUUCCAGUUUUUCCUGAGCAUCUUUGAGAGCUUCUGAGUAUUUAUCCAGUUCAUCUUCAGUUCCUUUUAACUUCUUCUGCAGUGCCACCAGCUCAUCCUCUACCUUUUGAGAAAGAAAAAUAAGUUGUGAACAUUCUGACACAUUGGUUGCUCUGCUUAUAGAUAAGGAUAGCCAAAGACUUCUUCCUACUAUUUGUUUUAAAUUAUGUUAAGCUUUUUUUAAAGUGAUUCUAUGGAGAGAUAUCGAAUUGUGGAUUUUUCAAAGUUGCUGUGUAACUUCAGUUGUCUAGAUGCCAAGUAGCCUACACAGUUUUACACUAUUUUAAUAAACCUAACAUGGCAGCUGAGCAGGCCAUUUGGCAUUCACAUAAUGAACAUAAGAAUGGCCCUACUGGGUCAAACCAAAGGUCCAUCUAGCCCAGUAUCCUGUCUUCCGCCACUGGCCAGUACCAGGUGCCCUGGAAGGAAUGAACAGAAUAGGUAAUCAUCAAGUGAUCCAUCCCCUGUCGUUCAUUCCCAGCUUCUGGCAAACAAAGGCUAGGGACACUAUUCCUGCCCAUCCUGGCUAAUAGCCAUUGAUGGACCUAUCCUCCAUGAAUUUAUUUAGUUCUUUUUUGAACCCUGUUAUGGUUUUGGCCUUCACAACAUCCUCUGGUAAGGUGUUCCACAGGUUGACUGUGCGUUGUGUGAAGAAAUACUUUCUUUUAUUUGUUUUAAACCUGCUGCCUAUUCUGAAACCAUGCUAUAUCCAUAUUUCUAAACCGAUUUAGCAAACCUCACCUAUGAGGAAAAAUGUUUAAAAUAUUAAUUUUUAGACUGAGUGGGGACCUGAUAACAGUCUUCAAAUAUAUUAAGGGCUGUUAUAAAGAGGAUGGUAAUCUGCUGUUCUCUAUGUCCGCUAAAAGUGGCACAAGAAGUAAUGGGCUUAAUCUGCAGGAAAGGAGAUUUAGGUUAGAUAUUAGGAAAAACUAUCCAAUUAUAAGGAUAGUUAAGCACUGGAACAGGCUUUCAAGGAAGGUUGUGGAAUCCCUGUCAUUAGAGGCUUUUAAGAAAAAUAGAUAAAUACCUGUCAGGAAUGGUCUAGGUAUACUUGGUCCUGCUUCAGCAUAGAGGGCUGAACUACAUGACUUCUUGAGGUCCUUGCCAGUGCAACAUUUCUAUGAUUCUAUAACUCAGCUGUUGUAAGUAGGCAUAACUCCAUUUACUUCAAUUUAACUAUGACAACGUACACAAGUUGAGAAUCUGACCCCAUACAUCCAGGGAUUGAGUAACCCUCGAUAUUGCCCUAGUCUGAAAUAAAAAAUUAUGCUAGCACAGUGUGCUCCUCCUCAGGGAAGGCAGGGACAAGCUUAUUCCCAUCACUGGCAUUCUACCUACAGUACUGUCAUUGAAUCCCAAAAAUAAAGAAAAUGUCAUGUAUAUAUGAAAAAUGCAUUGCACCCAUAUCCCUGAGUUCAGGGAGACUCUUAAUGAAACAUACAUUUGAAACAUGUUAUGAAAAAUAAGUUCUGUGUAUGUCUUUUACUCUUUUGACUGUGUUGCCCUUGUUUAUAGUCUACAGUCCACUUGGUCUGUAUGUAAAUACAACACUGGAUCUACUGUCUCCUUAACAGAAGCAAGAGGAUAGAGAAUGAAUCACAGAAGUACAGGUAUUAAGUAGAGUAGUGUUUAGAGUCCAUAUCUCCCUUAGCAAGCACUGCUACACUUCACUUGGUAAACUGAGGCAUUGCUUGAAAUAUGUUGAAUAUGAUCAGGGCAAAUGUGUUAUCUGAAAUACAGAGGUACCAUCCAUUCACUGAGAUACAGUUAUUUUGUUAGAUUUGAUGGUAAUAACAUUAUUUUCCUAAAGAUUCAUAGCUUUAAACCACAUAUGGUUUUCCAAUGGAAGGAGGGACAUAUGGGUCAUCCAAGGUAUGUUCCAUUUUAUCUCAUUAUCACUCGACCAUACCAUAUAAAUCCACACUGUAUUCUAAAAAGGUGCUAUUUAUAUCCUGCUGGGAGACUGCCAGAUGACAGAUUCCCCCCUGCUCCCUGGAGAAUUUCUAUUAUCAAGAGACUUCUUGCUGAUAACAUAACUGGUGUGCCUGCAGCCUGUCUGAUCUGUCAUUGAACUCGUAGUACCACCUUUGUUCUAUUCUAUCCUGGGAAUAGUAAUUAAUUGAGGAGAAUGAUGGUUUAACUCAUCCUUUGUAUAAGUUCAGUCUAUUAAAACAGUUAAUUUAAACCA